Molecule: long non-coding RNA, 743 nt
Filed under: Brassica napus (rape)
Lineage: Eukaryota; Viridiplantae; Streptophyta; Magnoliopsida; Brassicales; Brassicaceae
Description: long non-coding RNA (BNAP_LNC009103)
Source: RNAcentral
UAAAGUGUUUAUGCCUAGUUAAAAGAAGCACCGACACAUGCUUUUUACCAACGAGCCACUUCAACACACGAAAUAACAAUUGUAUUUAUAUACAAAUAUUUAAAUCAACCAUAUAUGUAUAAUAUUAAAAUAAGAAAGAUAGAUUGGUAUUGGCUAAUGUAAGAAGACGAGGAUAACCUAGGGUUAAAUCUCAACCAUUGAUAAAGUUUGAUCUAAUGGAUAAAAUGCUUUACUUUUUAAUAUAUUUUUUCUUCUUUUUUUCCUUUCUCUCCUAUUUGUUCACAUCUAUCGAUCUCUUAUUUUUCAUCUCUUUUGUUUCUCUAUCUCUCAUUUCUUCUCCAGAUCUGCUAAUCUCUUCAUCUAUUCUAUCUCCUCUGCGAUCUCCAUCACGUCCUUAUGCUCCCGUUGUGUAAGGCGUGGUCUUCUGUCCGGUCAUCUCCUUGGUGGUCUCCUCCUCUCCAGUGGUAGCCCAGGCUCAUCUCCGGUUGUCUCUUUAGCGGUCACAGUCCAGUCUCCUCUCUGCUCAUCCACAGUUCAAUUUUCUCUCUGAUCUUCCAUCGUCAUGGCUCCUCUCCACUCCUCUUCAGUCCAUGCUCCUCUCUGGUUUGAAGUGGAAGCUAUGUCAGAUCCAUCUCAGCAUCUCAACACAAACAUUUUCAACUUUUGUUGUCUUUAAUUUCACCUCUUAGUAUUAGAUUUUUUUCUCGUGUAUAAAAAGUUUGACAUCAACAUUUUGGUUACGU